AAGCAAAAACCCAAAGCCUUUUCAAACCCUUUGCCUUCACGGUUUCAACCUUUUGUUUUUCCUUUCCUUUUGUCGCACACGGUUUUAAUUUCCUGUCUCUCACGUUUUAGUUCUUUCCCCUUCCCCACCUUCUCUGUUCUACGGUUUCCUACGGUUUCACAUUUAAUCAUCGCUAGCCUCUCUCCCUUCUAACGGCAACCUCUCUGUUUUUCCUUCCUUCCUGUCUUCCUCUCCUUACAAUAUAUAAAUACUGACAGCAGCUAGACGAUUCAGUUGAGUGAUGCAAGGGCACAAGUUGAUGAUGAAGAUACAGCAAUGAUGAACAUUAUUAGGUCCGAUGAUUGGGUCACCAUUAAAAUCAUAAACUAGACAAUGAUGGUGAAUCCCCUAUCCAUAUCUCUCAUUGUUUAGGUUUUUCUUAUUCACUUUCAAUUUUAAAUAAAUUUUUACUUAAAACUUUGAAGAAACAUUCAAUGCUUUGUUCAACAAGAAUCAACUAUGCUAAUAUGACAAAUUAGCUUUGGCGUCAUUGGCUCCAUCUGACGAAUCAGUACCUAGCGGCUCUAGAAAGAAGAAGUCCAAGUGAUCACUGCCAUGUUCAUGCAAUACAAAAAACACCAUUGUUUCUGCCAGAAAGGUGCUUUUGGAAGGAGAGAAAUGCUAAGAAACAGAGUCUGCAACAACAUUGAAACAGAUGAAAAAUUUUCCUAUUCUCAGGUAAAUCAUGGUCCUCACGGAAGCUUCAAAGUCUAAGAAAGGCAUGAGAGAAUUUGUAGAACAAGCUUCUUUGUUUUUUAUUCUAUAUAUAUAUUUUUUGGACUUUAGGUUUCAUGUAAAGUAUUUAUUUUGUCUAAUAGAUGUUUGUUGUACUCUGCUUGGCAUAUUAUUAAAUUGGUACAAACUGUUGAAACAUAAACUAUUAAGACCUAUAAUACUUUUCAAAGUUGCUGUGUCAGGGCCUUAGGCCUUCGCUUGGUAUCAAUUUGGUGGGCAGCAGGUGUUUGUUGAAAGUUAAGUAUUGGCACUUGGCAGCUAAGUGGUUUGUAAUGUUGUAAGUGGAACCUAAGUUUAAUCAAGCACCAUGGUCUUCUC
Molecule: long non-coding RNA, 1092 nt
Organism: Quercus lobata
Lineage: Eukaryota; Viridiplantae; Streptophyta; Magnoliopsida; Fagales; Fagaceae
Exons: 3
Source: RefSeq, a predicted model, not a curated record